Long non-coding RNA from Saccostrea echinata, 243 nucleotides. RefSeq lists it as uncharacterized. The transcript is spliced from 3 exons. Lineage: Eukaryota; Metazoa; Mollusca; Bivalvia; Ostreida; Ostreidae. The record is from RefSeq and is a predicted model, not a curated record.
UGGGUCGGGUUAUUUAGCCAACCAAAAUGGCAGUACAGGCUCCGACCGAGGACUGAGGAAGCUUAGGAUGACUAAUAAGAAUGGUUGCGGCGAGUGUUUUGUUGUGGAAGUAUUAGAAGAAUGUGUAAGAAACAUACGGUGUUCAUGAUGCAACUUCCUGGAUGGUGUGUAAACUGUUUAUCAGCAUGUGAAAUCCACAUGAUUGAAGGAGAAGUCUCCCUUGUUAAAGAUCAGCAAUGGCAG